RNAcentral lists this long non-coding RNA (346 nucleotides) under Brassica rapa (field mustard). Its description in RNAcentral is "long non-coding RNA (BRAP_LNC002862)". The record is from RNAcentral. Lineage: Eukaryota; Viridiplantae; Streptophyta; Magnoliopsida; Brassicales; Brassicaceae.
AUAACCUCCACAUGGUUAUAAAUAGAACUAUUUGUUUUUUUCUCUCUGCCAAUUUCUACAUAUACUCCGUUUGACGUACUGCUUUAAUAAACUCACAAUUCAGAGUUGUCACUUAACAAGAAAACAAAACUAAUAAACGCUAAAAAUAUCAAUGAACCAUAUUCUAAAAACUGUGAAAACAGUAUACAAAAAAAUAAAAUAACAGCUUUUGAUUAAACUAACAAAACUAACAUCUAGUUUCAAUCACCAACCAUACACAUUUCCUAAUAGCUUUUAUAAAUUCCCAAUUUAGCUUCCCUCUCGUUUUCAUUCAUUCUUCUCCAUUUUCUCAACCGAUCUCUCUCAA